UACGUAGGGUGCAAGCGUUAAUCGGAAUUACUGGGCGUAAAGGGCGCGUAGGCGGCUGAUCAAGUCAGGUGUGAAAGCCCACGGCUUAACCGUGUGAAGUGCAUCUGAAACUGGUCGGCUUGAGUAUCGGAGAGGAAAGUGGAAUUCCCGGUGUAGAGGUGAAAUUCGUAGAUAUCAGGAGGAACACCGGUGGCGAAGGCGACUUCCUGGCCAGAUGCUGACGCUGAGACGCGAGAGCGUGGGGAGCAAACAGGAUUAGAAACCCGAGUAGU
RNAcentral lists this ribosomal RNA (272 nucleotides) under uncultured bacterium. RNAcentral's name for it is "partial 16S ribosomal RNA". It matches the Rfam family "Bacterial small subunit ribosomal RNA", at positions 524 to 794 of the family's 1533-position model. The record is from RNAcentral.